AGUAACUGCGAGUGAAGCGGGAAAAGCUCAAAUUUAAAAUCUGGUGGUCUUUGGCCAUCCGAGUUGUAAUUUAGAGAAGCGUCUUCCGCGCUGGACCGUGCACAAGUCUCCUGGAAUGGAGCGUCAUAGAGGGUGAGAAUCCCGUCUUUGGCAUGGACCCCAGGGCUUCUGUGAUGCGCUCUCAAAGAGUCGAGUUGUUUGGGAAUGCAGCUCAAAAUGGGUGGUGAACUCCAUCUAAAGCUAAAUAUUGGCGAGAGACCGAUAGCGAACAAGUACCGUGAGGGAAAGAUGAAAAGCACUUUGGAAAGAGAGUGAAACAGUACGUGAAAUUGUUGAAAGGGAAACGCUUGAAGUCAGUCGCGUCGACCGAGACUCAGCCUUGCCUUGGCUUGGUGUACUUCUCGGCUGACGGGUCAGCAUCAAUUUCGAUCCUUGGAUAAUGGCAAGGGAAAGGUAGCACCUUUACAGGUGUGUUAUAGUCCUCUGUCGCAUGCAAGGGUUGGGAUUGAGGAACUCAGCACGCGCCUUGUCGGUGUCGGGGCCUUUUGGCCUACGUACGUGCUUAGGAUGCUGGCAUAAUGGCUUUAAACGACCCGUCUUGAAACACGGACCAAGGAGUCUAACAUGCACGCGAGUGUUCGGGUGGAAAACCCGUGCGCGUAAUGAAAGUAAAAGUUGGGACCUCUGUCGUGGAGGGCACCGACGCCCGGACCAGACCUUCUGUGACGGCUCUGCGGUAGAGCGUG
RNAcentral lists this ribosomal RNA (746 nucleotides) under Russula sp. RNAcentral's name for it is "partial large subunit ribosomal RNA". It matches the Rfam family "Eukaryotic large subunit ribosomal RNA", at positions 82 to 804 of the family's 3401-position model. The record is from RNAcentral. Lineage: Eukaryota; Fungi; Basidiomycota; Agaricomycetes; Russulales; Russulaceae.